This 1479-nucleotide long non-coding RNA is filed under the name Struthio camelus australis. RNAcentral's name for it is "lncRNA (ENSSCUG00000016491.1)". The record is from RNAcentral. Lineage: Eukaryota; Metazoa; Chordata; Aves; Struthioniformes; Struthionidae.
AUUAUUUGUAGAGACAAAGGAGAGUCCUUCUAACCUGCAAGCAUUAUCAUUACUUUCUAGCUGCCUCUCCAUCUGGGUCAAUGCAACCAUCCAGUUUCACUAAGAGGAGCAGCUUUCCAAGGAGAUAAUCUGCACUCGAGGUCCUGGAGCUCCUAAAAGGUCUCAGUUCUUCCUCCAACAUUUCGCAGAGCUAAGGAGAGCUGCACCCUGAGGGCAUGUUGCUUCCAGGGCACCCUGCCGCUCUCCAGUCUGCUUGGCAUGCCCCGGGGAAGAGCAAUCUACAGAAAAGAGAGCAGAAGUUACAGUGCUGCAACCACAGCCUAAAGCAUACAGUGUCCAGCAGGGCUUUAAGGAAGAAGACGACAGGCACAGAAGACCAUGUGUCCGAUGGAGAAGUCCUCCUUAAUUUUGAUCUGAUACCUCUGGUACCGUCUAACCAUUUUUAAAGUCAGAAGCAACCAGCAAAGUUGAGAAUAGUCACGUAAGGCAGCAGAGCUUCCAGAGGCAGAAACACGCAGCAAAAUAACAACUGGUUGCAUUUGUCCCCUUCUUAGAAAAGCUCGUACACUCCCAAGACUCCUGCUAGCAAUUUACUAUUCAAAGACAAAAUUGUCCCUCGUGUAAGAUGACAGAAGUCAAUGGAGUUAAUCCAGGGAUGCGGAGCCAUCAACACAACUCCUUAAUGGACCAGAGGAAUUUCUUCUGAGUGAUGUGAGGCACUUUUCUGUCUCUCAGAUCUGAGGGUGCUGUCUCUUCAGGGCUCCUUGUGUCUUCCUCCCUGGAGACCUAGAAACACUGUUGAACCCAAGGCUCCUGCUGGGACAUUGAAGGAAGUAGUGGCUUACCUGUGAGCCUGAACCUGAAUUAGAGCACUUUAUGGGCUUUAAAAGCAUCAGAGAAAGUGAGAAGGGAACCGAAGCAAGGGAAACCCCAAACACUGCAUUCUCUUGGCUUCAUUCAGCUGUGAGAGCCACCAUCACCCUGCUGCAGUGGGAUCUCACAGCAAGAGAAGAUGAGGGAAGAGUGGCAGGAAGCACGCUGUCUGCCUUGCUCCAGGGGAACCCGCGCCUGAUGCCUGCACAAGCUAGUCUGCUGCCCCUGGGGUAAGCUGUCCUCCGGGGCACUAGCUUUUGGGGCAUGUGGGUACCCAGCAGCCCCAUGUCGAACUGCGGCUGCCAUCCCAUCUGCCGCCCCCCUGCAGAUGACCCAGGUGCCCUUGCGGUGCUCAGCUGAGUCCUUGGUUUUCACCUGCGGCUAUGAGGCUGUACAGCACUGCCACCAUGUUCCCCUGGGUUUGUCCUUAUCCCCAGCGUCUGGUUUCUUCUCCAUCCUCCUACCUCCUCUAAGCCUGUCCUCAUCUUCCCCUGUUUUUCCAUCUUCUCUGCUUGAGACACACCUGUGACAUACCUGCUGUUGUUAUAAUAUCAAGCCACUGCCUGGACAUGCCAGCUGGCUGACAUUGGACUUCCUUGUCCCUUC